UACUAGAGUAGCACUCGCAUAUCAAUAAGCGGAGGAAAAGGCUGCGGAACUGAACGACCGCUACCUACGCUUAGGAUGUUGACACACGCGCGUGCUCGACUCUAUACAUGACUCUGUGCAUAUCAAAUAGCGGAGGAAAAGAAACUAACAAGGAUUCCCCUAGUAACGGCGAGUGAAGCGGGAAGAGCUCAAAUUUGAAAUCUUAAAGGGUUUCCCUUUACGAAUUGUAGUUUAAAGAAGUGUUUUCUGUUGAGGUUUUGGUAAAAGUUCUUUGGAAUAGGACAUCAUAGAGGGUGAGAAUCCCGUAUUUGACCUUUACUUUCAACUUUGUGAUACACUUUCAAAGAGUCGGAUUGUUUGGGAAUGCAGUCCAAAAUGGGUGGUAAAUUUCAUCUAAAGCUAAAUAUUGGCGAGAGACCGAUAGCGAACAAGUACCGUGAGGGAAAGAUGAAAAGAACUUUGAAAAGAGAGUUAAACAGUACGUGAAAUUGUCAAAAGGGAAGCGUUUGACACCAGUGUUGUUUUUCUGAAAAUCAAUUAAAGAACUGUUUAUGCUAAGUUGUUUAGACUUUAUCAGCUAACUGUUUAGUUUUGAGCUUUUCUUUAAUGCACUUUUCAGUUAACAAGUCAACAUCAAUUUCUUUUGCUGUAAAAAAGCUUGAGGAAGGUGGCUUGAGAUUCGUCUUAAGUGUUUAUAGCCUCUUGCCUAUGCAGUCGGAGAGAUUGAGGUCUGCAGCGUAGAUCCUUCGGGGCUAAAUGCAUUUGUGCUAAGUUAUAGCAUUUUAUAGACAACUUGUUGACUAUGAUUUGUCUUGUAGCUUACUCGCUUAUGUUAUUUUACCUACGCUUAGGAUGUUGAUCUCUCACAGUCGAGC
This 875-nucleotide ribosomal RNA is filed under the name uncultured Neocallimastigales. RNAcentral describes it as "partial large subunit ribosomal RNA". It matches the Rfam family "Eukaryotic large subunit ribosomal RNA", at positions 1 to 645 of the family's 3401-position model. The record is from RNAcentral. Lineage: Eukaryota; Fungi; Neocallimastigomycota; Neocallimastigomycetes; Neocallimastigales.